Molecule: long non-coding RNA, 207 nt
Filed under: Gossypium raimondii (Peruvian cotton)
Lineage: Eukaryota; Viridiplantae; Streptophyta; Magnoliopsida; Malvales; Malvaceae
Description: long non-coding RNA (GRAI_LNC005722)
Source: RNAcentral
UGGGUGGGACUGGGAGGAACAGUCUUAACAUGAACCGAGCUCGAGCUCUUAGAGGGAGGCAACACCGCCUUUGACCGUCGUGGGUUGUAACUCUGGUGGUGGUGGUGGAGCAUAAGGUUUUAUGGGUUCCCUUUUUUCUACCCAUAACCCUACCCCUCGCUAAGACACUCUGUUUUUCAUUUUACGUUAAUGUGUUUUUGUUUAAAU